AUGACAAGACGACGACUAAACUCGAAAUGACUGAGUGGAAAGUUACAAGUUCAUUUGGUUGCAAAUGCACUGCAGACAGGAAAUGAGCCAACCACUUCUACACCAGCCCACUCUCUUCCUGACAAAAAAGAGAGUCCUCGACAAAGGCAGAAGACAGUUGUUCGGCACUGACUCGGACAAAAAAAACUUGCAGGGAAGCUAACACUGAACCACCAACAUCAUCAAUGAAGAUUAUCAGCAAGGAGAAAACCGACUGAAGUUCCAAACCACUUUUUGUAAAAACAAAACUGGAGGAAGCGACUUGGGCUCCACUACAUAAACUAGCAACCUACAUAAAGAUAAGUUCAUGUACCCCGUUUGCCGCGGCCACAAUUGAUUGAUUAUGCUGUUUUUGAUAUUAGAUUGUCAUGGAUUUUGCUAGCAGAUUUCACUUACUACUGUUCCUAUCAUGGAUUGGUUGCCAAGACCAUUUGCUAUUUUUUGUAUUGUUAAUGGCUCCCAAAAACCAAUGUUUCCUCAACAUUCCUGGUUUGAUUUUCAUGAUUCUUUGUGGUUUUUUCAUCACAAGAAUAUAAAUAUUUUGGCUUUCGAUUCUCA
This is a long non-coding RNA of Rosa chinensis, 597 nucleotides long. RefSeq lists it as uncharacterized. NCBI's taxonomy places the organism in Eukaryota, Viridiplantae, Streptophyta, Magnoliopsida, Rosales, Rosaceae. The transcript has 2 exons. The record is from RefSeq and is a predicted model, not a curated record.